UACAGAGGUGGCAAGCGUUGUUCGGAUUUACUGGGCGUAAAGGGCGCGUAGGCGGCGCAACAAGUCACUUGUGAAAUCUCCGGGCUUAACCCGGAGCGGCCAAGUGAUACUGUCGUGCUAGAGUGCGGAAGGGGCUACUGGAAUUCUCGGUGUAGCGGUGAAAUGCGUAGAUAUCGAGAGGAACACCUGCGGCGAAGGCGGGUAGCUGGGCCGACACUGACGCUGAUGCGCGAAAGCCAGGGGAGCGAACGGG
RNAcentral lists this ribosomal RNA (253 nucleotides) under uncultured bacterium. Its description in RNAcentral is "partial 16S ribosomal RNA". It matches the Rfam family "Bacterial small subunit ribosomal RNA", at positions 524 to 776 of the family's 1533-position model. The record is from RNAcentral.